Molecule: unclassified non-coding RNA, 336 nt
Filed under: soil metagenome
Description: partial contains 5.8S ribosomal RNA, internal transcribed spacer 2, and large subunit ribosomal RNA
Rfam family: 5.8S ribosomal RNA (bases 1-120)
Source: RNAcentral
GAUGAAGAACGCAGCGAAAUGCGAUAAGUAAUGUGAAUUGCAGAAUUCAGUGAAUCAUCGAAUCUUUGAACGCACAUUGCGCCCGCCAGUAUUCUGGCGGGCAUGCCUGUUCGAGCGUCAUUUCAACCAUCAAGCCCCCGGCUUGUGUUGGGGACCUGCGGCUCCCGCAGGCCCUGAAAAGCAGUGGCGGGCUCGCUGUCACACCGAGCGUAGUAGCAUACAUCUCGCUCUGGGCGUGCUGCGGGUUCCGGCCGUAAAACCACCUUCAUAACCCAAGGUUGACCUCGGAUCAGGUAGGAAGACCCGCUGAACUUAAGCAUAUCAAUAAGCGGAGGA